CACACUGUAAACGAUGAUAACUCGCUGCCGGCGAUACAUUGUUGGUGGCCAAGCGAAAGCAUUAAGUUAUCCACCUGGGGAGUACGACCGCAAGGUUGAAACUCAAAGGAAUUGACGGGGGCCCGCACAAGCAGUGGAGUAUGUGGUUUAAUUCGAAGCAACGCGAAGAACCUUACCAGGGCUUGACAUCCUCGGACGACACUAGAGAUAGUGUUUUCUCUUCGGAGACUGAGAGACAGGUGG
This 243-nucleotide ribosomal RNA is filed under the name uncultured Bacillota bacterium. Its description in RNAcentral is "uncultured Firmicutes bacterium partial 16S ribosomal RNA". It matches the Rfam family "Bacterial small subunit ribosomal RNA", at positions 796 to 1041 of the family's 1533-position model. The record is from RNAcentral. Lineage: Bacteria; Bacillati; Bacillota.